This 253-nucleotide ribosomal RNA is filed under the name uncultured bacterium. Its description in RNAcentral is "partial 16S ribosomal RNA". It matches the Rfam family "Bacterial small subunit ribosomal RNA", at positions 524 to 776 of the family's 1533-position model. The record is from RNAcentral.
UACGAAGGGGGCUAGCGUUGCUCGGAAUUAUUGGGCGUAAAGGGCGCGUAGGCGGUGCGGUAAGUCACCUGUGAAAACUCUGGGCUCAACUCAGAGCCUGCAGGCGAAACUGCCGUGCUUGAGUGUGGGAGAGGUGCGUGGAAUUCCCGGUGUAGCGGUGAAAUGCGUAGAUAUCGGGAGGAAGACCAGUGGCGAAGGCGAAUCUCUGGACAGUUACUGACACUGAGGCACGAAGGCCAGGGGAGCAAACGGG